Molecule: ribosomal RNA, 113 nt
Filed under: Nannospalax galili (Upper Galilee mountains blind mole rat)
Lineage: Eukaryota; Metazoa; Chordata; Mammalia; Rodentia; Spalacidae
Source: RNAcentral
AAUGAGGGACAUACUACUCUGAACAUGCUGGAUCUCCUCUGAUCUCAGAAGCUAAGUGGAAUCAGGCAUUAGUACUUAGGUGGGAGGAAAGGGAGUGAGGAGACUCUUCAACU